Long non-coding RNA from Homo sapiens (human), 947 nucleotides. Ensembl annotates it as PRDX6 antisense RNA 1. Its record names the gene PRDX6-AS1. NCBI's taxonomy places the organism in Eukaryota, Metazoa, Chordata, Mammalia, Primates, Hominidae. The record is from Ensembl.
ACCCUCAGAUGAUACGUUGGCCUUCCUGUAACCUAUAGCCAGCAGCUGUGUCCUCCGACUUUGGCUUUAGACACCCAUCCUCCCCAGGGAGCAAAUUCCAGAACGGAGGGUGGGAGGGCGGUGCGACCCUGGGCACUAGUCCGGGGAAGUGAUCGUCAAUGCCGCCCCGCCCCUGCGCCCUCGGCCUGACCACGCUACCUGCACAGUUUACUAAGACGAGUUAAAUGGACAACAAACCCUCCCGCGGGCGUAUGAAAGUUUUCAAGACGCCUACAAGUGGAAAAUGCACUCCUCCCAGCCAAAUCAAGCUUCGCCAGAUUCCUUACAGCUGUGUGCAGUGAAAUGACUAAUGAAAGAGCCCUCUGCUGCUGGUGGAACUUUCACAUAUGGCACUGUUAUGCCACUCAGCAGGACCCGACCCUGGUAUUUACAUAUUGGAUGUCACCCCAAAAGCCCCUGACCAGGGGGUUUCCGGGAUGUAAUAAGAAUGCCACUCUGGGCUUUGGAAGGUGCACCGUAUGCACACCCAUACUAUAGGGCAGGGGUUAGCAUUUCAGACCCCUGUUCCUCCCUUGACAAGCAAGUGCUUUUCUCCAGGGAAGACGUUCAGGUUCAUUCAUAGAUCCAUUGGUGCCGUGGGCAGCUCAGUAACAAUAGCUCUGCUGCCUACCAGCUGCUGGUGGAGGUGUUGAGAAUACCUAAUGAGGAAGUCAGGGCCCCUGCGUGCUUCAGCAGAGCUGGAUGCCUGGCAUGGCAAUCAAUGGACACAAACCUUUGGAUAAUUUCCGUCCUUGGCGGUGUGUUCUAUAGCAUAGGUAUGAAGUGGGUGCUCUGGGAGCUCAGAAGAGGGGCUCUUCUCUUAACUUAUGGGUGGCCAGGGAAGGCUUCCUGGAGCUCAAAUGACUGAGUGGAGUCUUCAACAUUAAAAAAAAAAAAAAGAAAAAAAA